CCUACGGGAAGCAGCAGUGGGGAAUAUUGGGCAAUGGGCGAAAGCCUGACCCAGCAACGCCGCGUGAGGGAAGAAGGUUUUCGGAUUGUAAACCUCUGUCCUAUGGGACGAAGGACGUGACGGUACCAUAGGAGGAAGCCCCGGCUAACUACGUGCCAGCAGCCGCGGUAAUACGUAGGGGGCGAGCGUUGUCCGGAAUGACUGGGCGUAAAGGGCGUGUAGGCGGCUUUUUAAGUCUGGAGUGAAAGCCCCGCUUUUAAGGUGGGGAGUGCUUUGGAGACUGGAGAGCUUGAGUGCGGAAGAGGUAAGUGGAAUUCCCAGUGUAGCGGUGAAAUGCGUAGAGAUUGGGAGGAACACCAGUGGCGAAGGCGACUUACUGGGCCGUAACUGACGCUGAGGCGCGAAAGCGUGGGGAGCGAACAGGAUUAGAUACCCGUGUAGUC
This 443-nucleotide ribosomal RNA is filed under the name uncultured bacterium. RNAcentral describes it as "bacterial SSU rRNA". It matches the Rfam family "Bacterial small subunit ribosomal RNA", at positions 338 to 795 of the family's 1533-position model. The record is from RNAcentral.